Molecule: ribosomal RNA, 440 nt
Filed under: uncultured bacterium
Lineage: Bacteria
Description: partial 16S ribosomal RNA
Rfam family: Bacterial small subunit ribosomal RNA
Source: RNAcentral
ACUACGGGUGGCAGCAGUGGGGAAUAUUGCACAAUGGGGGGAACCCUGAUGCAGCAACGCCGCGUGGGUGAAGAAGUACUUCGGUAUGUAAAGCCCUGUCAGCAGGGAAGAAAAUGACGGUACCUGACCAAGAAGCCCCGGCGAACUACGUGCCAGUAGCCGAGGUAAGACGUAGGGGGCAAGCGUUCUCCGGAUUUACUGGGUGUAAGGGGAGCGUAGGCGGCAAGUCAAGUCUGGAGGGAAAGCCCGUGGCUCAACCACGGGACUGCUUUGGAGACUGGGUUGCUGGAGUGCAGGAGGGGUAAGCGGAAUGCCUAGUGUAGCGGUGAAAUGCGUAGAUAUUAGGAGGAACACCGGUGGCGAAGGCGGCUUACUGGACUGUAACUGACGUUGAGGCUCGAAGGCGUGGGGAGCAAACAGGAUUAGAUACCCGAGUAGUC